GUGACUGUCGGCUCCACAGCAGUGUCUUUUUUCUCUCUCUCUCUUCAACCAAGCAUUCCAAAUGCAUCCAUGCGGAGACGGAGAGGCAGACGACUGAAGCGACCGGCCAUUGCGCACCUGAACCCGUUGACUCGACUCGGAUCCAAGGAUGAAACCCGCACCUUUCCUGACUAAUGGCGUGUGAGCUUUGGCCUGUGACACAGUAGUGAAGAAGAGUGUUAAUAGAAGACCGCUGGGAUCCACGGGUAGGGUGAAGGUAGAAAUCAUAAUGAAGGUGAAAGGAAGGAAGACCUCACCUCCCAGGCUGCACAAACUCAGACCGUGAGACCUUCACAGCUUGAACACUGAAUGUGUGAGUGGAUUUCCUAGUAUGUCAAGUUUGCAGAAAAGGGGCCUGGACCCAAUGUGUGUUCAUGCUUACCAUUUGGACAGUACUUGAACUGCUCGUGUUUGAUUUCAAAUUUUAAUGUACAGUUGGAUCAUCGCUUGUAACUACAUGUACCCUGUAGUUAUUAUUCUGCACUGUAGUCUAGUAUAGCAGCGAGUGAAGGAAUGUCUUGCCUCAUGUGGACACAGUGAGUCACCAGGAUGUCUUACUGUAAGUCGGACUGCCUUACUUUUUGGGCUGCAGCAGCCAUUUCCAGUUCAGCACCAUGGACAGAGCUCACUAAAAACAUAGGUAUUCAUGUGCUGUUAGCUCUUCACAGAAUUCUGUUUUGUAUGUUUAGACUACAUGAGUCUAAAUAUUAGCUUAAAAGGUUCAUCCAACAUUAUCUUUAAAGAUUCCCUCUACUUUUUGUGUGCCUAGUUUUGUGUCUGUGGCGUCAGCACAGCAGAGCCUCCAAAUUUACACAGCGGGUAAUGGAGUUACCAGGUUCUGACCAGGAUCAAGAAUGUAUUGAUCAAAACAUCUCACCUUAUGCUGCUUCCAUGUUCGAUCCACGGGCUCGCUGUCACGGGACUGUGGUGCAAGAACACAUCUACAAAACAUAAGUGGGUGUCUGUGCUUCUGUUCAGUUCAGUUGUGAAAACCUUUAAAGUGUGGUGUUUUAUCAUUAGAUGUGGACAAAGUCAGAAAUUAUGUUUGUGAUAGGAACAAAUGUGACAAAAGCACUGAACAUAGUUUCUAUAUUUUCAUUUCUUUGAUUAUUAUAUCACUGUUUGUGUUCUGUCUCUGUUAUUUGUAAAUUUAGUCACAAUAUGUUUUUCCACUCAUCUUGCUUAUGAAAACACCUCAAUAGGCAGAUGUUCCAGCAAAUAUGCCACAAAACAAUAAGCUGAAAAAUGGCUCGCAGGCGACUUGGGUGCUGUAAUUUGCAUCAGAAUGAACAGCAACAGUGAAACAAUUUCUGAAUAUAAAUUUUGUUGUUUGAAUGUUCAGA
This is a long non-coding RNA of Betta splendens (Siamese fighting fish), 1382 nucleotides long. RefSeq lists it as uncharacterized. The transcript is spliced from 2 exons. NCBI's taxonomy places the organism in Eukaryota, Metazoa, Chordata, Actinopteri, Anabantiformes, Osphronemidae. The record is from RefSeq and is a predicted model, not a curated record.